AUGCACGCUGGCGGCGUGCCUCAUCCCUGCCAGUCGAGCGAACGGACGAGAAGCUUGCUUCUCUGAUGUUAGUGGCGGACGGGUGAGUAACACGUGGAUAACCUACCUAUAAGACUGGGAUAACUUCGGGAAACCGGAGCUAAUACCGGAUGAUAUUUUGAACCGCAUGGUUCAAAAGUGAAAGACGGUCUUGCUGUCACUUAUAGAUGGAUCCGCGCUGCAUUAGCUAGUUGGUAAGGUAACGGCUUACCAAGGCAACGAUGCAUAGCCGACCUGAGAGGGUGAUCGGCCACACUGGAACUGAGACACGGUCCAGACUCCUACGGGAGGCAGCAGUAGGGAAUCUUCCGCAAUGGGCGAAAGCCUGACGGAGCAACGCCGCGUGAGUGAUGAAGGUCUUCGGAUCGUAAAACUCUGUUAUUAGGGAAGAACAUAUGUGUAAGUAACUGUGCACAUCUUGACGGUACCUAAUCAGAAAGCCACGGCUAACUACGUG
Molecule: ribosomal RNA, 496 nt
Filed under: uncultured bacterium
Lineage: Bacteria
Description: partial 16S ribosomal RNA
Rfam family: Bacterial small subunit ribosomal RNA
Source: RNAcentral